CUACGCACUCCUACGGGAGGCAGCAGUGGGGAAUAUUGCACAAUGGGCGCAAGCCUGAUGCAGCCAUGCCGCGUGUAUGAAGAAGGCCUUCGGGUUGUAAAGGUACUUUCAGCAGUGAGGAAGGUGGGUAUGUUAAUAGCAUAUUCAUUUGACGUUAGCUGCAGAAGAAGCACCGGCUAACUCCGUGCCAGCAGCCGCGGUAAUACGGAGGGUGCGAGCGUUAAUCGGAAUUACUGGGCGUAAAGCGCAUGCAGGUGGUUUGUUAAGUCAGAUGUGAAAGCCCGGGGCUCAACCUCGGAAUUGCAUUUGAAACUGGCAAACUAGAGUACUGUAGAGGGGGUAGAAUUUCAGGUGUAGCGGUGAAAUGCGUAGAGAUCUGAAGGAAUACCGGUGGCGAAGGCGGCCCCCUGGACAGAUACUGACACUCAGAUGCGAAAGCGUGGGGAGCAAACAGGAUUAGAUACCCUGGUAG
RNAcentral lists this ribosomal RNA (472 nucleotides) under uncultured bacterium. RNAcentral describes it as "bacterial SSU rRNA". It matches the Rfam family "Bacterial small subunit ribosomal RNA", at positions 329 to 793 of the family's 1533-position model. The record is from RNAcentral.